This 71-nucleotide transfer RNA is filed under the name Stegodyphus mimosarum. It matches the Rfam family "tRNA". From Rfam's summary of the family: Transfer RNA (tRNA) molecules are approximately 80 nucleotides in length. Their secondary structure includes four short double-helical elements and three loops (D, anti-codon, and T loops). Further hydrogen bonds mediate the characteristic L-shaped molecular structure. tRNAs have two regions of fundamental functional importance: the anti-codon, which is responsible for specific mRNA codon recognition, and the 3' end, to which the tRNAs corresponding amino acid is attached (by aminoacyl-tRNA synthetases). tRNAs cope with the degeneracy of the genetic code in two manners: having more than one tRNA (with a specific anti-codon) for a particular amino acid; and 'wobble' base-pairing, i.e. permitting non-standard base-pairing at the 3rd anti-codon position. The record is from Rfam by way of RNAcentral. Lineage: Eukaryota; Metazoa; Arthropoda; Arachnida; Araneae; Eresidae.
GCCGUUGUAGUGUAACGGUAGCACAUUCAGAGCGUAUUCGAGGGGUCUAGGUUCGAGUCCCGGCGAGGGCA